AUGAGUAGUGACUGGGAGGACAUUUUUCCUCAAGUCAACAUUAGGAAAUUGGUCAGAGAUGUACCAGACCAUAAUGCUCUUUUGCUGUCCUCUGACAACCAUGUUGUCAGAUCUCCACAGACAAGAGAAUUUAGAUUUGAAUUAAGUUGGCUGAAAUCAGAUGAGUUUCUUCCCUUAGUGGAGAAAAUCUGGAAUCAAUAUGUGAAAGCCACUAACCCAAUUGAUAUUCUAAAUAUCAAAUUAAAACAUUUUAAAAAGUUCUUCAAGGGGUGGGGCUCGAAUGAAUUUGGUCAUGAAAAAAUCAGAAGAAGGAAAAUCAGAGAAGAGUUGAGAUUGAUUGAGGAGGAGGAAGAGAACGGAAAUAUUGAUCUUGGUAUAUUUUGUAAAAAAAACUGA
Molecule: ribosomal RNA, 396 nt
Filed under: Triticum aestivum (bread wheat)
Lineage: Eukaryota; Viridiplantae; Streptophyta; Magnoliopsida; Poales; Poaceae
Description: partial small subunit ribosomal RNA
Source: RNAcentral